AAAAGGUGUUAGAACUAAUAAUCCAAACUUAAUUAAAAUAUAGUUAUAGAUAAGUUUAAAUCUUUUAUUUGAUUAUGAUUAGGAUAUGUACUUAUCCAAAGUAAAAUUGGAUUUAUCAUUUGUUAUGAUUUGAUGGCUAUAUAUAGUUAGGUAUGACUUAAUUAGAAAAUAAGCCAUAAUAGACAUGACUGCAUAGGUAUUGCUCAGAAUGUAAUUAAUUGCUUUUUAUUAAUAAAGUAUUAGUUUACGUAUCAUCUCUCUCCUCCAAUAUCUCUUCUCCAUAUUAUUUUGUUCUAUUUUAGAUCUUGGGUUAUAUAAUCGGUAUCGGCAUAAAUACCGGUUCCAACAAUUGGUAUCAGAGAAAAUCACGCUUCUCAAUAAUUGGUAUCAGA
RNAcentral lists this long non-coding RNA (392 nucleotides) under Ananas comosus (pineapple). Its description in RNAcentral is "long non-coding RNA (ACOM_LNC034237)". The record is from RNAcentral. Lineage: Eukaryota; Viridiplantae; Streptophyta; Magnoliopsida; Poales; Bromeliaceae.